RNAcentral lists this ribosomal RNA (254 nucleotides) under uncultured bacterium. Its description in RNAcentral is "partial 16S ribosomal RNA". It matches the Rfam family "Bacterial small subunit ribosomal RNA", at positions 524 to 776 of the family's 1533-position model. The record is from RNAcentral.
UACAGAGGUCUCAAGCGUUGUUCGGAUUUAUUGGGCGUAAAGAGCUCGUAGGCGGUUCGGUAAGUCGGAUGUGAAAUCUCCACGCUCAACGUGGAGGGGCCAUUCGAUACUGCCGUGACUCGAGUCCGGUAGGGGAGUGUGGAAUUCCCGGUGUAGCGGUGAAAUGCGCAGAGAUCGGGAGGAACACCCGUAGCGAAGGCGGCACUCUGGGCCGGUACUGACGCUGAGGAGCGAAAGCGUGGGGAGCGAACAGG